RNAcentral lists this unclassified non-coding RNA (1477 nucleotides) under Leishmania donovani. RNAcentral's name for it is "gene:LdHU3.32.4290(CDS-product:50S_ribosome-bindi ng_GTPase/Miro-like_protein/Ras_family_putative)". The record is from RNAcentral. Lineage: Eukaryota; Euglenozoa; Kinetoplastea; Trypanosomatida; Trypanosomatidae.
CGAAUCCGCGAUACAAUCUGUACCGCAGGCGAUCACGCGUCCGCCUCUGCAGCAGCACACGCACAAGGGCAUUGACCACUGGAGGCAGAGCACUUCUUCCACAUCAGACGUGUGCUUCCCUCGGCGUGCCUUUCUACCAUUUGUUGGCUCCCCUUUGCUCCGCCGCUACAGCACAUCCCCCCACACUCACCAUGGCAGAGGAGAAGAUCAAGAUCAUCGUCGUUGGCCCGGUCAAGAGCGGCAAGACGACCAUCACGAACUUUCUGAGCGGCACGCGCGAGACGGCAACGAGCAAGUACUACGAGACGAACCCGCUCCGCAUUGUGGAGACGGAGAUCGAGCUCGACUCCAUGAACCUCACCGAUCGCCGAGUUGUCUUCUCCGGUGGCGACGCCAAGACGAAGCGGGUAUUGGUGCAAAUUUGGGACCUCAGCGGCAACAGCAAGCACCAGGCGGGCUGGCCGGCCGUUGCGAACGGGGCCGAUGGCAUCAUCUUUGUCUUCGACCCGGCGCUGAAGAACGGCGAGAAGGAGCUGUCGCUGUGGCACAAGACGUUCGCCGUGAACCAGUCGGAGCUGGACGCGCUUGGCAACUUUGCCGUCCGGGUCCCUGACAAGCACUGUCUCGUCUUUGCCCAUCACUCGACGCCCCCGAACAACGUAGCAGGCGAGGGAUUGCCUUCCAUGCCGAAGGGCCUAGAGAAAAUCAAGGUGCUGGAGACGUCGCUCGACUACCACAGCGACAACUUCAAGGCGGCCUUUGACAAGCUGAUUGAGUCCAUCGUUGUCGCCCGGAUGGAGGCGGAGGAGGAUGAGGUCCUUCAACGCGAAGGGCGCAUGCACUUCUAGGCCACGAUGCCGGCCUACAAGGAAGCACAUAGAGCUGCCGUGGCUCUGCAGUCUUUCAUCCCUUUUCAUUCGCUGGGCCGGCAACACUCGCGUUUCCAAUGUGCGAACAAACAUGCGUAGGCGCACGUGUGCGUGCUUGCGCGUCGGCGUGCUUCGCUGUGUCUUUGAUGUGCGUGUGAUGUGCACGGUGAACCAGCGGCGAUGAUGUACAGCUUCCCCAGCGACGCAGACGCCCACCUCUUUCUGUCUAUCGGUGACUUCUCCGUCUCAAGUCGUGUUUUGCCUCGGAGUGCGCCCGUGCUUGGCCGCUUUUUCUUGUUUUCCCUCCUUGUUGUUCCGGUUAUUGCGCUCUCGUUGCGUCGCUGCCUCGCUCGCUGAUGGCCCUCCUCAGGCCCUUCUCUUACCUGUCUCUUUUCGGUGUCAGUCUCCGUCUUUUGCGCCCGCGGCGGCACCAAUGAAGCGCACAUCAUGCGGAGCAACACCUGGGGAUACAGCGGAAAGGCAAAGGACCUUUGGAACCUAUUCCCCGGCCAAGCAGACUGAAGGGCUCCUUCCCUUUCGAAUGGAAGACAGCGUGCCUCGAGCAUUCCGACCUCAGCAGCAACCGCACAAUAUUGACACGCAACACC